UGUUGCUUCUGAGGUUGAUUUAAAAUCUUUGAUUUAAUUCAUGAGAAUGAGAUUUUAAUAUCAUGACUGAUAAUGGAUUACUAUAUAUUGCAACGCCUGGACAUACACAUGGUUUGGAUAUACUGAAGACAAAAGGAAUAAUAUAUGGGAAUGGAUAAGGCUGAUUUCCCCCUAUCCACAGCCACACUUACUCCUAAAGUAACAUCAUGUCCAUCCUUACUAUGCCCUUUUACUGUAGAAUUGCCCGAAUCCUAAUGAC
Pelobates cultripes (western spadefoot toad) is the source of this 259-nucleotide non-coding RNA. The record is from the annotation of a GenBank genome assembly. Lineage: Eukaryota; Metazoa; Chordata; Amphibia; Anura; Pelobatidae.